This is a long non-coding RNA of Passer domesticus (house sparrow), 1907 nucleotides long. RefSeq lists it as uncharacterized. The transcript is spliced from 3 exons. NCBI's taxonomy places the organism in Eukaryota, Metazoa, Chordata, Aves, Passeriformes, Passeridae. The record is from RefSeq and is a predicted model, not a curated record.
CCAGCUGGGACCCCAAAACAUCCUCAGGGAUAUGGGGACAGAGCCCAGCUGGGACCCCAAAACAUCCACUGGGAUAUGGGGACAGAGCCCAGCUGGAGCCACACCUCGGAUCCCAUCCCAGCACCCGUGGGGACAUUGCAGCAGCACUCACCUGAACUAAAGUGGAUUUUCCUGUCAGUUUACUCCAGGAAUAUCUUCUCCUGGGAUCCCAUCUGUGCAGUCACACUGACCACAUCCACCCUGGAAGUCAGACAUCCUGGCACAGGUAUCCACACCCAGGUGUGUGAAUGGUCCCUUCUGACCUCACACACAUUUUGGCAGCCUCCAAGGAGUGGGAUACAAUUUCCAUUGCAACAGCACAGUCGUGAGGCUCAGCUCUUGAUCAGCUCCUGCAGGGCACAGCCUGACUUUGACCAGACACAACUGUGAACCGAGAUCUUUAAUUUCACAGGGAAAACAUCGUCACAGCCUGUGGGGAACGGGGAUGCUGCCCUGCCCAAGGAGCCUUUGCUGGUUUGCCAAGAGCACUCAGACGUGCAGGCAGGAAGGAUUCUCGCCAGCACAUUUAUUUCCUGGAAGAUCCAUACAAGCUUCUUUUGAGUCUGGAUUUGGAGGUCGGACCUUGAGAGCUCUGCACGUUUCCAGCCCCACCUCCCGUGUGCACCGUGUCAGUGGUGGCCUCACACCUCUCCUGCCCUGGGCCAGAUGCACACAGCUGGCUCAGGACACACUGAGCAGCUGCAGCUCCUGUGCAGCAGGAGAGGCACAGCCAAGGUAUGUGCCCCCAGCUGGCUCUGCUGAGAGGAGCAGUGGCUUCAUCACUCCUUUUUGGUCCCAGCACCUGAUAUAAAACCAGUCUAAGACCAGGCAGAAUGGUGUCCCAAGCAAUAUGAGAUAAGAAGCUGGAGAUCUCUGUGGCCACUGAUGACCUCAGAACCCCACUGCCCUGUGCCUUGCCUGGCACUGCCCACCCUGUGGAGUGGGUGCUGUGUGUCCUGCCCAGCCCAGAAAGGUUACACCUUCUCUGCACUGGUGUGAAGUGCUGGGGAUGGAGAGUCAGGCCCAGAAGGAGGCUGGCCUGGUGCUGGCUCCCAUCCAUUUAGCCCCAGUUGUCCCACCAUAACUUCAGACUGGCAAAGUCUGGCAUUAAUGAGGGGAGAUGAUGCCAUAGCAGCAGCAAGACCAUUGAUGUGGUGUUAGACCACCUUGGAGGGUGGAUGUGGCUGUGGAUCCUCCAAGGUGGGAGUGUGGCAUAGGAUGUUAUUUAACAAGGAGGGGUUGGUUGGGCAGAGUUAACUCAGCUUUCUCUAGAAAACACUCACAGUUUUGUUCCUUGCCGUGCUGCUUGGUUUUGUUUCUUGUCUGAAAAAUCCAAAAUAACUCCACUGAUUGGUCUUGGGUUCACAGCAGUGUUUCUGAGAUUAGAGCCUGCUCUUUAGAGCCUCCUGCUCAAGGUCAGAUGAAAUGGUCAGUCACCCCUUGCAGCAGACUCCAAGAACAAUAAGAUGUUUUAGGAAUGUGCCAUAACUGAUUGCCUCUAAAGGGCAAAUUUUGCUCUGUGCUGCCAAGCAAGGGCUGUUCUCGGUGAUAAGUUUGCUGAACAAAGUCUGCUGAGGUUUGUGGAGCUGGUUUCAUUCUCCUGGGAGGGCAGCAGGCCAGGACAUUGCGCACGCUGAUCCCAAUCGCCCCAAGGAUCAAGUCUGCAGGAAAUCCAAGUGGCCUUACUAAAGUUCUGUGCCCACCUUCUGCCACUCAGAGCUGGGUUCCCACUGCCACUUUCCAACAACAUUGUUAUCCCAAAGCACUGUUCUCCAGGAGGAAAAGGCUGAAAUGCUGUCAAAAUAGAGGAUAUAAAUAAAGGAACAUUGAUCAGUUGCUUUGUAUUUUUGUUCUUCACAUUCUAUUUU